CAUUCACGGAGAGUUUGAUCCUGGCUCAGGACGAACGCUGGCGGCGUGCUUAACACAUGCAAGUCGAACGAUGAACCACCUUCGGGUGGGGAUUAGUGGCGAACGGGUGAGUAACACGUGGGCAAUCUGCCCUGCACUCUGGGACAAGCCCUGGAAACGGGGUCUAAUACCGGAUACUGACCUGCCGAGGCAUCUCGGCGGGUCGAAAGCUCCGGCGGUGCAGGAUGAGCCCGCGGCCUAUCAGCUUGUUGGUGAGGUAAUGGCUCACCAAGGCGACGACGGGUAGCCGGCCUGAGAGGGCGACCGGCCACACUGGGACUGAGACACGGCCCAGACUCCUACGGGAGGCAGCAGUGGGGAAUAUUGCACAAUGGGCGCAAGCCUGAUGCAGCGACGCCGCGUGAGGGAUGACGGCCUUC
RNAcentral lists this ribosomal RNA (419 nucleotides) under Streptomyces diastaticus. RNAcentral describes it as "bacterial SSU rRNA". It matches the Rfam family "Bacterial small subunit ribosomal RNA", at positions 1 to 419 of the family's 1533-position model. The record is from RNAcentral. Lineage: Bacteria; Bacillati; Actinomycetota; Actinomycetes; Kitasatosporales; Streptomycetaceae.